RNAcentral lists this ribosomal RNA (109 nucleotides) under uncultured bacterium. RNAcentral's name for it is "partial 16S ribosomal RNA". It matches the Rfam family "Bacterial small subunit ribosomal RNA", at positions 1392 to 1500 of the family's 1533-position model. The record is from RNAcentral.
GCCCGUCACACCAUGAGAGUCGGGAACACCCGAAGUCCGUAGCCUAACAGCAAUGAGGGCGCGGCCGAAGGUGGGUUCGAUAAUUGGGGUGAAGUCGUAACAAGGUAGC